UACGGGGGGGGCAAGCGUUGUUCGGAAUUAUUGGGCGUAAAGGGCUCGUAGGCGGCCAACUAAGUCAGACGUGAAAUCCCCAGGCUCAACCUGGGAACUGCGUCUGAUACUGGAUGGCUUGAAUCCGGGAGAGGGAUGCAGAAUUCCAGGUGUAGCGGUGAAAUGCGUAGAUAUCUGGAGGAAUACCGGUGGCGAAGGCGACAUCCUGGACCGGCAUUGACGCUGAGGAGCGAAAGCUAGGGGAGCAAACAGG
Molecule: ribosomal RNA, 253 nt
Filed under: uncultured bacterium
Lineage: Bacteria
Description: partial 16S ribosomal RNA
Rfam family: Bacterial small subunit ribosomal RNA
Source: RNAcentral